UUGUAUGACUCUCGGCAAUGGAUAUCUUGGCUCUUGCAUCGAUGAAGAGCGCAGCGAAAUGCGAUACGUGGUGUGAAUUGCAGAAUCCCGUGAACCAUCAAAUCUUUGAACGCAAGUUGCGCCCGAGGCCAAUUGGCUAAGGGCACGUCCGCCU
RNAcentral lists this ribosomal RNA (154 nucleotides) under Vrydagzynea albida. RNAcentral describes it as "5.8S ribosomal RNA". It matches the Rfam family "5.8S ribosomal RNA". From Rfam's summary of the family: 5.8S ribosomal RNA (5.8S rRNA) is a component of the large subunit of the eukaryotic ribosome. It is transcribed by RNA polymerase I as part of the 45S precursor that also contains 18S and 28S rRNA. The record is from RNAcentral. Lineage: Eukaryota; Viridiplantae; Streptophyta; Magnoliopsida; Asparagales; Orchidaceae. RNAcentral also lists the same sequence under 1 other name.